Molecule: ribosomal RNA, 210 nt
Filed under: uncultured Microgenomates group bacterium
Lineage: Bacteria
Description: partial 16S ribosomal RNA
Rfam family: Bacterial small subunit ribosomal RNA
Source: RNAcentral
UCUGCAGGUUUUUUGGUUAGUCUUUUGUUUAAGCCCUCAGCUUAGCUGAGGAAAGGCAGGGGAAACUACCAGAAUAGAGUAUAUUUGAGGAGCUUGGAAUUCUCGGUGGAGGGGUGAAAUCCAUAGAUAUCGAGAGGAACACCAUAUGCGAAGGCAGGGCUCUGGAAUAUUACUGACACUCAGAGACGACAGCUUGGGUAGCAAACGGGA